Molecule: ribosomal RNA, 378 nt
Filed under: uncultured organism
Description: partial 16S ribosomal RNA
Rfam family: Bacterial small subunit ribosomal RNA
Source: RNAcentral
GGAGGGGGGGCAAGCGUUAUUCGGAAUUAUUGGGCGUAAAGGGCGCGUAGGCGGCCGAUCAAGUGGUAGGGUGAAAUCCCUCGGGCUCAACCGAGGAACUGCCUACCAAACUGACUGGCUUGAGUCCCGGGAGAGGUGAGUGGAAUUCCCAGUGUAGCGGUGAAAUGCGUAGAUAUUGGGAGGAACACCGGUGGCGAAGGCGGCUCACUGGACCGGAACUGACGCUGAGGCGCGAAAGCGUGGGGAGCAAACGGGAUUAGAUACCCCGGUAGUCCACGCCGUAAACGAUGAGUGCUUGGUGUAGCGGGUAUCGACCCCUGCUGUGCCGAAGUUAACGCAUUAAGCACUCCGCCUGGGGAGUACGGUCGCAAAGGCUGA